Molecule: transfer RNA, 86 nt
Filed under: Xenopus laevis (African clawed frog)
Lineage: Eukaryota; Metazoa; Chordata; Amphibia; Anura; Pipidae
Rfam family: tRNA
About the family: Transfer RNA (tRNA) molecules are approximately 80 nucleotides in length. Their secondary structure includes four short double-helical elements and three loops (D, anti-codon, and T loops).
Source: Rfam by way of RNAcentral
CCUUCGAUAGCUCAGCUGGUAGAGCGGAGGACUGUAGGGGAAACAUAGUAAUCCUUAGGUCGCUGGUUCAAUUCCGGCUCAAAGGA